This 253-nucleotide ribosomal RNA is filed under the name uncultured bacterium. RNAcentral's name for it is "partial 16S ribosomal RNA". It matches the Rfam family "Bacterial small subunit ribosomal RNA", at positions 524 to 776 of the family's 1533-position model. The record is from RNAcentral.
GACGGAAGGUGCAAGCGUUGCUCGGAAUCACUGGGCGUAAAGGGCGCGUAGGCGGCCGUGCAAGUCUGGCGUGAAAGCCCCGGGCUCAGCCCGGGAAGUGCGCUCGAAACUGCGCGGCUCGAGUGCCGGAGGGGAGAGUGGAAUUCCUGGUGUAGCGGUGAAAUGCGUAGAUAUCUGGAGGAACACCAAUGGCGAAGGCAGCUCGCUGGGACGUGACUGACGCUGAGACGCGAAAGCGUGGGGAGCAAACAGG